This 468-nucleotide ribosomal RNA is filed under the name uncultured bacterium. RNAcentral describes it as "partial 16S ribosomal RNA". It matches the Rfam family "Bacterial small subunit ribosomal RNA", at positions 28 to 507 of the family's 1533-position model. The record is from RNAcentral.
GACGAACGCUGGCGGCGUGCUUAACACAUGCAAGUCGAACGGAAGGGCCCUGCUUUUGUGGGGUGCUCGAGUGGCGAACGGGUGAGUAACACGUGAGUAACCUGCCCUUGACUUUGGGAUAACUUCAGGAAACUGGGGCUAAUACCGGAUAGGAGCUCCUGCUGCAUGGUGGGGGUUGGAAAGUUUCGGCGGUUGGGGAUGGACUCGCGGCUUAUCAGCUUGUUGGUUGGGUAGUGGCUUACCAAGGCUUUGACGGGUAGCCGGCCUGAGAGGGUGACCGGCCACAUUGGGACUGAGAUACGGCCCAGACUCCUACGGGAGGCAGCAGGGGGGAAUCUUGCACAAUGGGCGGAAGCCUGAUGCAGCAACGCCGCGUGCGGGAUGACGGCCUUCGGGUUGUAAACCGCUUUCGCCUGUGACGAAGCGUGAGUGACGGUAAUGGGUAAAGAAGCACCGGCUAACUACGUG